RNAcentral lists this ribosomal RNA (497 nucleotides) under uncultured bacterium. RNAcentral's name for it is "partial 16S ribosomal RNA". It matches the Rfam family "Bacterial small subunit ribosomal RNA", at positions 28 to 507 of the family's 1533-position model. The record is from RNAcentral.
GAUGAACGCUGGCGGCGUGCCUAAUACAUGCAAGUCGAGCGAACGGACGAUAAUCUUGCUUUUCUGAUGUUAGCGGCGGACGGGUGAGUAACACGUGGAUAACCUACCUAUAAGACGGGGAUAACUUCGGGAAACCGGAGCUAAUACCGUAUAAUAUUUUGAACCGCAUGGUUCAAAAGUGAAAGACGGUCUUGGUGUCAGUUAUAGAUGGUUCCGCGCUGGAUUAGCGAGUUGGUAAGGUAAAGGCUUACCAAGGCGACGAUGCGUAGCCGACCUGUGAGGCGGAUAGGCCACACUGGAACGGAGCCAGGGACCAGGCUCCUACGGGAGGGCGCAGUAGGCAACGGUACGCAGUAGGCGAGAGCAUGACGGAGCGGCGGCGCGUGAGUGAUGAAGGUCUUCGGAUCGUAAUACUCUGUUAUUGGGGAAGAACAUAUGUGUACGUAACUGUGCACAUCUUGACGGUAACUGAUCAGAAAGCACCGGCUAACUACGUG